This 497-nucleotide ribosomal RNA is filed under the name uncultured bacterium. RNAcentral's name for it is "partial 16S ribosomal RNA". It matches the Rfam family "Bacterial small subunit ribosomal RNA", at positions 28 to 507 of the family's 1533-position model. The record is from RNAcentral.
GACGAACGCUGGCGGCGUGCCUAAUACAUGCAAGUAGAACGCUGAAGCGAGGAGCUUGCUCUUCUUGGAUGAGUUGCGAACGGGUGAGUAACGCGUAGGUACCCUGCCUUGUAGCGGGGGAUAACUAUUGGAAACGAUAGCUAAUACCGCAUAACAAUGGAUGACACAUGUCAUUUAUUUGAAAGGGGCAAUUGUUCCACUACAAGAUGGACCUGCGUUGUAUUAGCUAGUAGGUGAGGUAAUGGCUCACCUAGGCGACGAUACAUAGCCGACCUGAGAGGGUGAUCGGCCACACUGGGACUGAGACACGGCCCAGACUCCUACGGGAGGCAGCAGUAGGGAAUCUUCGGCAAUGGGGGCAACCCUGACCGAGCAACGCCGCGUGAGUGAAGAAGGUUUUCGGAUCGUAAAGCUCUGUUGUAAGUCAAGAACGGGUGUGAGAGUGGAAAGUUCACACUGUGACGGUAGCUUACCAGAAAGGGACGGCUAACUACGUG